GACGAACGCUGGCGGCGUGCUUAACACAUGCAAGUCGAACGGUGAAGCGCCUUCCUUUUUGGUGGGUGUGGAUGAGUGGCGAACGGGUGAGUAACACGUGAGUAACCUGCCCCCUUCUUCUGGAUAACCGCAUGAAAGUGUGGCUAAUACGGGAUAUUCUGGGUCUGUCGCAUGAUGGGUCUGGGAAAGAUAUUGUUUCGGUGGGGGAUGGGCUCGCGGCCUAUCAGCUUGUUGGUGGGGUGAUGGCCUACCAAGGCGGUGACGGGUAGCCGGCCUGAGAGGGUGGACGGUCACACUGGGACUGAGACACGGCCCAGACUCCUACGGGAGGCAGCAGUUGGGAAUAUUGCACAAUGGGCGCGAGCCUGAUGCAGCGACGCCGCGUGAGGGAUGGAGGCCUGCGGGUUGUGAACCUCUUUCGCCAGUGAAGCAGGCCUGCCUCGUUUGUGGGUGGGUUGACGGUAGCUGGAUAAGAAGCGCCGGCUAACUACGUG
RNAcentral lists this ribosomal RNA (494 nucleotides) under uncultured bacterium. RNAcentral describes it as "partial 16S ribosomal RNA". It matches the Rfam family "Bacterial small subunit ribosomal RNA", at positions 28 to 507 of the family's 1533-position model. The record is from RNAcentral.